AUUGAACGCUGGCGGCAGGCCUAACACAUGCAAGUCGAGCGAGCGGCGGACGGGUGAGUAAUGUAUGGGGACUGCCCGAUAGAGGGGGAUAACUACUGGAAAAGGUGGCUAAUACCGCAUACUAUCGGAUAACCCAUAUGGGAUUAGCUAGUAGGUGGGGUAAAGGCUCACCUAGGCGACGAUCUCUAGCUGGUCUGAGAGGAUGAUCAGCCACACUGGGACGGAGAAACGGCCUAGACGCCUACGGAGGCAGCGGUGGGGAAUAUUGCACAAUGGGCGCAAGCCUGAUGCAGCCAUGCCGAGUGAAUGAAGAAGGCCUUAGGGUUGUAAAGUAAUUUCAGCGGGGAGGCGUUGCCCGAAGAAGAAGCACCGGCUAACUCCGUGCCAGCAGGCGCGGUAAUUC
Molecule: ribosomal RNA, 403 nt
Filed under: uncultured bacterium
Lineage: Bacteria
Description: partial 16S ribosomal RNA
Rfam family: Bacterial small subunit ribosomal RNA
Source: RNAcentral